AUCAGAAGUACUGUUUGUUCUCUUUCAUGUUCAGUGGUGUUAAAAACCUAUAAAAACAUGCAAGAUGGUGCAGAAACCAUUAGGAAACCAAGGGAAGACACAGAAGAAGAGAGCACACAGGACGAUGCUGAAGCCUUAACACUGCAAGAAGCAGCUGACCUUUGCAGGAUGCUCUGUUUGAGUGUGGCUUUCCUCCAAAUCUUGCCCCUUUCUCAACGAGCCAAGAGCAGAAUCAUCCACUGUCAUUGGGAAAAGAAAGUUUCACCAUUCUUAAGAAUGGUAGGCAAUAUUUUGUGGCAGUUCAUGAUAAUUCAAAUGAUAGUUAUAUCAGUUCUUAAUUUCCAUUUCUUUUGUUUUAAGUGGGAAAUCUUUUCAAGUGUAAUAAACAGCUUGCAGUUUUUUUCUUUGAGAAUUAUUUGUUCAUAAGCUGUUAUUUGUCUAAAUAAUUUGAAUUAUACCCCUUCUUGAAAUGACUUUGAGUCUUCAAAUACUUAAUUAAAUGUAGUUUUAUGAUGUUUAGUGUUCAAUCUAAAUUAAAUGAUUUUUCUUCAUGCUGGUAUUAA
Antechinus flavipes (yellow-footed antechinus) is the source of this 563-nucleotide long non-coding RNA. RefSeq lists it as uncharacterized. The record is from RefSeq and is a predicted model, not a curated record. Lineage: Eukaryota; Metazoa; Chordata; Mammalia; Dasyuromorphia; Dasyuridae. The transcript has 2 exons.